This 70-nucleotide transfer RNA is filed under the name Erimyzon oblongus (creek chubsucker). RNAcentral describes it as "tRNA-His". It matches the Rfam family "tRNA". From Rfam's summary of the family: Transfer RNA (tRNA) molecules are approximately 80 nucleotides in length. Their secondary structure includes four short double-helical elements and three loops (D, anti-codon, and T loops). The record is from RNAcentral. Lineage: Eukaryota; Metazoa; Chordata; Actinopteri; Cypriniformes; Catostomidae. RNAcentral also lists the same sequence under 2 other names.
GUAAGUAUAGUUUAAUUAAAAAUACUAGAUUGUGGUUCUAGAGAUGGGGGUUAAAAUCCCCUUACUCACC